CACGUAGGGGGCAAGCGUUGUCCGGAUUUAUUGGGCGUAAAGAGCUCGUAGGCGGCUCAGUAAGUCAGGUGUGAAACCUCCAGGCUCAACCUGGAGACGCCACCUGAUACUGCUGUGGCUAGAGUCCGGUAGGGGAGCGUGGAAUUCCUGGUGUAGCGGUGAAAUGCGCAGAUAUCAGGAGGAACACCAGCGGCGAAGGCGGCGCUCUGGGCUGGAACUGACGCUGAGGAGCGAAAGCGUGGGGAGCAAACAGG
This 254-nucleotide ribosomal RNA is filed under the name uncultured bacterium. RNAcentral describes it as "partial 16S ribosomal RNA". It matches the Rfam family "Bacterial small subunit ribosomal RNA", at positions 524 to 776 of the family's 1533-position model. The record is from RNAcentral.